Molecule: long non-coding RNA, 1061 nt
Filed under: Homo sapiens (human)
Lineage: Eukaryota; Metazoa; Chordata; Mammalia; Primates; Hominidae
Description: non-protein coding lnc-UBE2K-2:10
Source: RNAcentral
GAGGACUGUGAAGCAAUCGGGGCGAGGCCGGGUGUCUGUUCAACUCUCCCGCGUAUCGUCUGUUUCUUCGGCGGCGGACAGUGUUCUGUAAUGUGUCUCCCGUUGCCCGAGCUAAAGGUUUUCCUCGACGGAGUCUUUAGAAUACCGUGGUAGAGGCAGUCUCCACACCACUGUGCUCGAACAGCUCUAUGAAGAGGCCUAUGUGGAGAGGAGAAAAAGCCUCCACCAACAGCCAGCACCAACUUGCCAGCCAUAUGGCGUCUUGCUCUGUCACCCAGGCUGGGGUGCAGUGGUGUGAUCUCAGCUCACUGCAACCUCUGCCUCCUGGGUUCAAGCAAUUCUUCUGCCUCAGCCUCCCAAAGAGCUGUGAUUACAGACGUGUGCCACAAUACCCGGCUAAGUUUUGUAUUUUUAUUAUUAUUUUAUUUAUGUGUUUAUUUAUUUAUUUAUUUAUUUAUUUUGAGAUGGAGUCUUGCUGUGUCGCCCAGGGUGGAGUGCAGUGGUGCGAUCUCUGCUCGCUGCAGCCUCUGCCCCCCAGGCGAUUCUCCUGCCUCAGCCUCCCGAGUAGCUGGGAUUACAGGUGCCCGCCACCAUACCCGGCUAAUUUUUGUAUUUUUAGUAAAGACAGGGUUUUGCCAUGUUGGCCAGGCUGAUCUCGAACUCCUGACCUCAAGUGAUCUGUCUGCCUUGGCCUCCCAAGGCAGGGAGCCUGCUGGGAUUACAGGCAUGAGCCACCACGCCCAGUCAAAAUGUUUUAAAUGUUUCUAUACCACCAUCUGUGUCAAAGAGCAAAUGGUCUCUCUGCAGCUGGAACAACAAAAACUCAAAUGGUCCACACAGUGGUUCAUACCUAUAAGUCACCAAACCUAAACUAAGUUGUUAUCUGACCUUCUGGAAAUGAGAAGAGAUAGAUAACUGCCAGUUUCCCAAACAGGCCAGUUUAAAUCUUCCUGUAAGCAUGAUAAGGAAGUUCCCUCUGAUUUAAUCCUUACACACGAAAAAGUAGCCUUAAAUAACCUGAUAUUAACUCAUCAGUUUUAUUUUUAUUUAUUUAUUUUUUU